This 301-nucleotide ribosomal RNA is filed under the name uncultured bacterium. RNAcentral describes it as "partial 16S ribosomal RNA". It matches the Rfam family "Bacterial small subunit ribosomal RNA", at positions 509 to 807 of the family's 1533-position model. The record is from RNAcentral.
CAGCAGCCACGGGAAUACAGAGGGUGCAAGCGUUAAUCGGAUUUACUGGGCGUAAAGGGCGCGUAGGUGGUUAUGUAAGUGAGAUGUGAAAUCCCCGGGCUCAACCUGGGAACUGCAUCUUAUACUGCGUAGCUGGAGUGCAGUAGAGGGUAGUGGAAUUUCCGGUGUAGCGGUGGAAUGCGUAGAUAUCGGAAGGAACACCAGUGGCGAAGGCGGCUACCUGGACUGACACUGACACUGAGGCGCGAAAGCGUGGGGCGCAAACAGGAUUAGAGACCCCUGUAGUCCCUGUCUCUUAUAC